UGAGGAAUAUUGGGCAAUGCCCGCAAGGGUGACCCAGCAACGCCGCGUGGAGGAUGAAUGUCGUAAGAUUGUAAACUCCUGUUAGAGGGGAAGAAUAGUACCGGUUGGACCGGUAUAUGACUGUACCCUCAGAGAAAGCCCCGGCUAACUACGUGCCAGCAGCCGCGGUAAUACGUAGGGGGCAAGCGUUGUCCGGAUUUACUGGGUGUAAAGGGCGCGCAGGCGGGAUAAAAAGUCAGUGGUGAAAUCCUACAGCUGAACUGUAGAACUGCCUUUGAUACUUUUAUUCUUGAGUUCGGGAGAGAGAGACGGAAUUCCAGGUGUAGUGGUGAAAUACGUAGAUAUCUGGAAGAACACCAGUUGCGAAGGCGGUCUCUUGGUCCGACACUGACGCUGAUGCGCGAAAGCGUGGGGA
This 415-nucleotide ribosomal RNA is filed under the name uncultured bacterium. RNAcentral's name for it is "bacterial SSU rRNA". It matches the Rfam family "Bacterial small subunit ribosomal RNA", at positions 355 to 767 of the family's 1533-position model. The record is from RNAcentral.